RNAcentral lists this ribosomal RNA (301 nucleotides) under uncultured bacterium. Its description in RNAcentral is "partial 16S ribosomal RNA". It matches the Rfam family "Bacterial small subunit ribosomal RNA", at positions 509 to 807 of the family's 1533-position model. The record is from RNAcentral.
CAGCCGCCGCGGUAAUACGGAGGGGGCUAGCGUUGUUCGGAAUUACUGGGCGUAAAGCGUACGUAGGCGGCUUUGUAAGUUAGAGGUGAAAGCCUGGAGCUCAACUCCAGAAUUGCCUUUAAGACUGCAUCGCUUGAACGUCGGAGAGGUGAGUGGAAUUCCGAGUGUAGAGGUGAAAUUCGUAGAUAUUCGGAAGAACACCAGUGGCGAAGGCGGCUCACUGGACGACUGUUGACGCUGAGGUACGAAAGCGUGGGGAGCAAACAGGAUUAGAUACCCCAGUAGUCCCUGUCUCUUAUAC